UACAGGGGGGGCAAGCGUUAUUCGGAAUUAUUGGGCGUAAAGAGCUCGUAGGCGGUCUGUCGCGUCUGCCGUGAAAACCCGAGGCUUAACCUCGGGCUGGCGGUGGAUACGGGCAGACUAGAGUUCGGUAGGGGAGACUGGAAUUCCUGGUGUAGCGGUGAAAUGCGCAGAUAUCAGGAGGAACACCGGUGGUGUAGACGGCUUUCUGGACCGUAACUGACGCUGAGACACGAAAGCGUGGGUAGCAAACAGG
RNAcentral lists this ribosomal RNA (253 nucleotides) under uncultured bacterium. Its description in RNAcentral is "partial 16S ribosomal RNA". It matches the Rfam family "Bacterial small subunit ribosomal RNA", at positions 524 to 776 of the family's 1533-position model. The record is from RNAcentral.